UACGAAGGGGGCUAGCGUUGCUCGGAAUCACUGGGCGUAAAGCGCACGUAGGCGGAUUGCUAAGUCAGGGGUGAAAUCCUGGAGCUCAACUCCAGAACUGCCUUCGAUACUGGGAGUCUCGAGUCCGGGAGAGGUGAGUGGAACUGCGAGUGUAGAGGUGAAAUUCGUAGAUAUUCGCAAGAACACCAGUGGCGAAGGCGGCUCACUGGCCCGGUACUGACGCUGAGGUGCGAAAGCGUGGGGAGCAAACAGG
Molecule: ribosomal RNA, 253 nt
Filed under: uncultured bacterium
Lineage: Bacteria
Description: partial 16S ribosomal RNA
Rfam family: Bacterial small subunit ribosomal RNA
Source: RNAcentral